UUUUACAAUGAAGAGUUUGAUCCUGGCUCAGGAUGAACGCUAGCUACAGGCUUAACACAUGCAAGUCGAGGGGCAGCAUGAACUUAGCUUGCUAAGUUUGAUGGCGACCGGCGCACGGGUGAGUAACGCGUAUCCAACCUUCCGUUUACUCGGGGAUAGCCUUUCGAAAGAAAGAUUAAUACCCGAUGGUAUGGUAAGAUUGCAUGAUAAUACCAUUAAAGAUUUAUCGGUAAACGAUGGGGAUGCGUUCCAUUAGGUAGUAGGCGGGGUAACGGCCCACCUAGCCGACGAUGGAUAGGGGUUCUGAGAGGAAGGU
RNAcentral lists this ribosomal RNA (316 nucleotides) under Bacteroides caecigallinarum. RNAcentral's name for it is "bacterial SSU rRNA". It matches the Rfam family "Bacterial small subunit ribosomal RNA", at positions 1 to 304 of the family's 1533-position model. The record is from RNAcentral. Lineage: Bacteria; Pseudomonadati; Bacteroidota; Bacteroidia; Bacteroidales; Bacteroidaceae.